UCUUCCCUCUUCCCCCGUGCCUAAUACAUGCAAGUCGAGCGAACGGACGAGAAGCUUGCUUCUCUGAUGUUAGCGGCGGACGGGUGAGUAACACGUGGAUAACCUACCUAUAAGACUGGGAUAACUUCGGGAAACCGGAGCUAAUACCGGAUAAUAUUUUGAACCGCAUGGUUCAAAAGUGAAAGACGGUCUUGCUGUCACUUAUAGAUGGAUCCGCGCUGCAUUAGCUAGUUGGUAAGGUAACGGCUUACCAAGGCAACGAUGCAUAGCCGACCUGAGAGGGUGAUCGGCCACACUGGAACUGAGACACGGUCCAGACUCCUACGGGAGGCAGCAGUAGGGAAUCUUCCGCAAUGGGCGAAAGCCUGACGGAGCAACGCCGCGUGAGUGAUGAAGGUCUUCGGAUCGUAAAACUCUGUUAUUAGGGAAGAACAUAUGUGUAAGUAACUGUGCACAUCUUGACGGUACCUAAUCAGAAAGGCACGGCUAACUACGUG
RNAcentral lists this ribosomal RNA (497 nucleotides) under uncultured bacterium. Its description in RNAcentral is "partial 16S ribosomal RNA". It matches the Rfam family "Bacterial small subunit ribosomal RNA", at positions 36 to 507 of the family's 1533-position model. The record is from RNAcentral.